UUAUUGUGUCACCAGGUUAUACUACAACUGUCUUCCCACGGCGCCACAUGAGAAGAGGCUCAGCAAGGGCCUCGCUGAAGGCUCCAAAGCCCCUGCACUCUGGGGCCUGGCCCAGCACAUAAGCUGAAGGAGGAUGGGUUCAGGUGCAGCGUGCUCUGUGGUUGACAGCUAAGCACUCAUUUCCCUGUAUCCACUCGCUCCUCCUAAAAACUGUACCUGCAGCGUGUUCUCAGCUAACUCCCUCCUGUUGACUCAUUCACAGAAGUCAGGUUUCAGACCCAUCCCAGUACAACAUGCUCCUAACAGAGGGGUUUGUUGCAGAAAGCUCCACUGUGUUGUGGACUAUAUUUGGGUUUGGCACACAAGCAAUAUAUUUAAUCCGUAGGUCAGGUCCGUUUUCUAUUGCUUUUUCCCAUCUGAAACAUGCUAACUCUGGUGCCGUUCCUCUGAGGAGCUCCAAGCACCUCACAAACAUUGGUCAACCAUCCCACCACCCCUGUAAGGCAGGUAGGAUUAUCCCCAUUUUACAAAGGGGAAAACUGAGGCUCAGUUACCCAAAGUCCCACAACACACCAAUGGCAAAGCCAGGAACAGAACUCAGGUUUCCUGACUCCUAGUCUCCCCACUUUAAUAACUAGACUACACUCUUUUUCUUCAGAAACAUUAAUUCUGUUUUCUUUAAAAGGACUUUAUUCUAUUUCUGUAGGUUAAAUGCUUUCUUUAAGCAGAUCUCUCCCUCAUAGAGGUGCUUUUCAAAGGUCUGCUCCAAUGCACUUGAAUGUUUCCAUCAUGCAGCCUUUAUUGUUCCCCUUUCAGCUGUGAAAUAGCACUAAUCUCACACAGGCAAACUCACAAAUGAAGCAAGUUCAGACAUUGUCAUCCAGAAGUCCCCCUGUACUAAACUUAGGAAACCAUAUGUGGCUGCCUGUUCUUAUCAGAGGGUGUGACCAAGCAACUCCCCAGCCAAUCAGAACCAAAUUAAUUCUGCAGGCAUGAAGCAACUGAACUUGUUUAUCACUUUGACAUCUGGCACCAGAGCAAAAACUUGCAAAUCUUAAACUGCCUUCACACAAGGAACUUGUGACACAGACAGCUGCAGCCGCACAGCCCACAGGCUUGGACUAGCUACACUCCCUACAAAGGGUACAGAGCCUGGAUUGGAAGAGAACACAGUAGAAGGGCCAUGUUGGGUUUUCAACGUGCAUUCAGGUUGCUCAAUGCAACAGUGAGGAAUCAGAUUGUUCCCAGAGCAAAUAUUGUUUCUGGAGCACCAGAGGAGAUUGUCACUCCAGCUGAUCAAGCCAUCGCGCUGACUGUGAUGUUUGCAGCCUUCCUAAUCCCCUCCGGCUGGAUUCUGGCACAUCUGGAGGACUACAAGCACAAGCCUAGCGAGUGAGACACAGGAGGAAGCUGCAUCCAGCCUAGUUUAGGAGAAUGGGAAGAGGAGACUAUUGAACGAACCCCUUCAUGGCAAACUGACCUUUAAGGAUUUUAUAAUUAAAACACGAUGAAAAACA
Long non-coding RNA from Chrysemys picta bellii (western painted turtle), 1517 nucleotides. RefSeq lists it as uncharacterized. The record is from RefSeq and is a predicted model, not a curated record. Lineage: Eukaryota; Metazoa; Chordata; Testudines; Emydidae.